CCUACGGGAGGCAGCAGUGGGGAAUUUUGGACAAUGGGCGCAAGCCUGAUCCAGCAAUGCCGCGUGAGUGAAGAAGGCCUUCGGGUUGUAAAGCUCUUUUGUCAGGGAAGAAACGGUUGGGGCUAAUAUCCUCAGCUAAUGACGGUACCUGAAGAAUAAGCACCGGCUAACUACGUGCCAGCAGCCGCGGUAAUACGUAGGGUGCAAGCGUUAAUCGGAAUUACUGGGCGUAAAGCGUGCGCAGGCGGUUUUGUAAGUCUGUCGUGAAAGCCCCGGGCUUAACCUGGGAAUUGCGAUGGAGACUGCAAGGCUUGAAUCUGGCAGAGGGGGGUAGAAUUCCACGUGUAGCAGUGAAAUGCGUAGAGAUGUGGAGGAACACCGAUGGCGAAGGCAGCCCCCUGGGUCAAGAUUGACGCUCAUGCACGAAAGCGUGGGGAGCAAACAGGAUUAGAUACCCUGGUAGUCCACGCCCUAAACGAUGUCUACUAGUUGUCGGGUCUUAAUUGACUUGGUAACGCAGCUAACGCGUGAAGUAGACCGCCUGGGGAGUACGGUCGCAAGAUUAAAACUACAAAUGAAUUGACGG
This 586-nucleotide ribosomal RNA is filed under the name uncultured bacterium. RNAcentral's name for it is "bacterial SSU rRNA". It matches the Rfam family "Bacterial small subunit ribosomal RNA", at positions 338 to 916 of the family's 1533-position model. The record is from RNAcentral.